UGAGGAAUAUUUGUCAAUGGACGCAAGUCUGAACCAGCCAAGUAGCGUGCAGGAUGACGGCCCUAUGGGUUGUAAACUGCUUUUAUAUGGGGAUAAAGUGGGGAACGUGUUCCCUUUUGCAGGUACCAUAUGAAUAAGGACCGACUAAUUCCGUGCCAGCAGCCGCGGUAAUACGGAAGGUUCGGGCGUUAUCCGGAUUUAUUGGGUUUAAAGGGAGCGUAGGCCGUUUGGUAAGCGUGUUGUGAAAUGUAGGAGCUCAACUUCUAGAUUGCAGCGCGAACUGUCAGACUUGAGUGCGCACAACGUAGGCGGAAUUCAUGGUGUAGCGGUGAAAUGCUUAGAUAUCAUGAAGAACUCCGAUUGCGAAGGCAGCUUACGGGAGCGCAACUGACGCUGAAGCUCGAAGGUGCGGGUAUCGAACAGG
RNAcentral lists this ribosomal RNA (424 nucleotides) under Verrucomicrobiota bacterium. RNAcentral's name for it is "Verrucomicrobia bacterium partial 16S ribosomal RNA". It matches the Rfam family "Bacterial small subunit ribosomal RNA", at positions 355 to 776 of the family's 1533-position model. The record is from RNAcentral. Lineage: Bacteria; Pseudomonadati; Verrucomicrobiota.